UUUAGGCCUUCUCCAUUCUUUAUAUUGGAUGAAGUUGAUGCUGCAUUGGAUAAUUUGAAUGUUGCCAAAGUUGCUGGAUUUAUCCGAUCAAAGUCAUGUGGAGGAGCUAGGCUUAAUCAGGAUCCCGAGGAAGGAUGUGGCUUCCAAAGCAUUGUCAUCUCUCUCAAAGACAGCUUUUAUGACAAAGCCGAAGCUUUGGUUGGUGUUUACAGGGAUUCGGACUUGGGUUGCUCGAGGACAUUGACAUUUGAUUUGACCAAGUAUCGGGAAUCAUGAAAGGCCAAUUAGCUGCUGUUUGAGAUUUACUCACCGUAUGAUUUCUUUCCAGAUUGUAUAUAGGUGCUAUUUGUCGUUGUAAAGCAUUUAGGAAUAAUCGUACGGACAUCUGGGAAAAUUGGUUCACUACUAGUUUCCUCGGUCUUUUUGAAAUUGAUUCAGUUUAGUGCUUUAGUAUGAGUUAGUUCGUCAUGUUAAAGUACUGAUGUUGGUGUUAGUGAUGUGUGGCUUAUUUCGGUUUUCACCAGAUGUGAAAAGACCUGCAUAUGGUGCUCCAUGGCGAAUGAGUAUGCUUGAAGGGGUGGGGUCUCUAUAAUAUCUCUUAUGUAGACUUCAGAAAGUGUUCAUGCUUUAAAUUGCGGACACCGGUGGUCACAGAAGUCUCUUAUUAUUGUUAUUUAUUUUGGCAAUAUAGUGAAGCUUGUGGCAUUA
This is a non-coding RNA of Nicotiana tabacum (common tobacco), 708 nucleotides long. The record is from RefSeq and is a predicted model, not a curated record. NCBI's taxonomy places the organism in Eukaryota, Viridiplantae, Streptophyta, Magnoliopsida, Solanales, Solanaceae.